RNAcentral lists this ribosomal RNA (486 nucleotides) under uncultured bacterium. Its description in RNAcentral is "partial 16S ribosomal RNA". It matches the Rfam family "Bacterial small subunit ribosomal RNA", at positions 30 to 507 of the family's 1533-position model. The record is from RNAcentral.
AUUGAACGCUGGCGGCAUGCCUUACACAUGCAAGUCGAACGGCAGCACGGGUGCUUGCACCUGGUGGCGAGUGGCGAACGGGUGAGUAAUACAUCGGAACAUGUCCUGUAGUGGGGGAUAGCCCGGCGAAAGCCGGAUUAAUACCGCAUACGAUCCACGGAUGAAAGCGGGGGACCUUCGGGCCUCGCGCUAUAGGGUUGGCCGAUGGCUGAUUAGCUAGUUGGUGGGGUAAAGGCCUACCAAGGCGACGAUCAGUAGCUGGUCUGAGAGGACGACCAGCCACACUGGGACUGAGACAUGGCCCAGACUCCUACGGGAGGCAGCAGUGGGGAAUUUUGGACAAUGGGCGAAAGCCUGAUCCAGCAAUGCCGCGUGUGUGAAGAAGGCCUUCGGGUUGUAAAGCACUUUUGUCCGGAAAGAAAUCCUUGGCUCUAAUACAGUCGGGGGAUGACGGUACCGGAAGAAUAAGCACCGGCUAACUACGUG